RNAcentral lists this ribosomal RNA (478 nucleotides) under uncultured bacterium. Its description in RNAcentral is "bacterial SSU rRNA". It matches the Rfam family "Bacterial small subunit ribosomal RNA", at positions 29 to 506 of the family's 1533-position model. The record is from RNAcentral.
UUGAACGCUGGCGGCAUGCCUAACACAUGCAAGUCGCACGCGAAAGGGGGCAACCCUGAGUAGAGUGGCGGACGGGUGAGUAAUACAUAGGAAUCUACCCAGUAGUGGGGGACAACCCGGUGAAAACCGGGCUAAUACCGCAUACGACCUACGGGUGAAAGUGGGGGACCGCAAGGCCUCGCGCUAUUGGAUGAGCCUAUGUCCGAUUAGCUAGUUGGUGGGGUAAAGGCCUACCAAGGCAACGAUCGGUAGCUGGUUUGAGAGAACGACCAGCCACACUGGGACUGAGACACGGCCCAGACUCCUACGGGAGGCAGCAGUGGGGAAUCUUGGACAAUGGGGGCAACCCUGAUCCAGCAAUGCCGCGUGUGUGAAGAAGGCCUUCGGGUUGUAAAGCACUUUCGGUGGGGACGAACAUGGUCGGGUGAAUAUCCCGGCCCUUGACGGUACCCAAAGAAGAAGCACCGGCUAACUCUGU